This 449-nucleotide ribosomal RNA is filed under the name uncultured bacterium. Its description in RNAcentral is "partial 16S ribosomal RNA". It matches the Rfam family "Bacterial small subunit ribosomal RNA", at positions 28 to 507 of the family's 1533-position model. The record is from RNAcentral.
GAUGAACGCUGGCGGCGUGCCUAAUACAUGCAAGUCGAGCGAACAGAUGAGGAGCUUGCUCCUCUGACGUUAGCGGCGGACGGGUGAGUAACGCGUGGGAACAUGCCCUUUGGUGCGGAAUAGCCCCGGGAAACUGGGAGUAAUACCGCAUGUGCCCUUCGGGGGAAAGAUUUAUCGCCAAAGGAUUGGCCCGCGUUGGAUUAGGUAGUUGGUGGGGUAAUGGCCUACCAAGCCGACGAUCCAUAGCUGGUUUGAGAGGAUGAUCAGCCACACUGGGACUGAGACACGGCCCAGACUCCUACGGGAGGCAGCAGUGGGGAAUCUUAGACAAUGGGCGCAAGCCUGAUCUAGCCAUGCCGCGUGAUCGAUGAAGGCCUUAGGGUUGUAAAGAUCUUUCAGUGGGGAAGAUAAUGACGGUACCCACAGAAGAAGCCCCGGCUAACUCCGUG